CACAAUUCUAUAUAUAACACUAUAUCAUUUUCCUUACACACAAUAUCUUUUCGAUUAAUUUACCGUAUGGUUAAUUGAAACGUGAUCGGACAAAAAAAUGAUAGCAUACGAAAGCACAUGUAAAUUUCCUCGGAUAAUUGAACCCGGUUAAUUGAUUUUCCUGCUUAGUUGGUUCGAAAUUUUGACAUUAGCGCAUGUACAUAUUUCUCAGCAUUUGUGAUAAACACUGGGUGGUGGUGGUUUACUAAGCAAUUGAAAACAUAUGUUUACUGAUGAAGGAAACCUAUGAUAAAGCACUAUGACCGCAAAACGAUACGUAACUCUUAUAAUUAAGGAUAAGCUUAAAUUUUUUCUGAAGCCAAAUGCAAGCCCAAGUCUGAGCUGUGCAAAAAGUAUGGGUGCUCUCUCACCACAUUGAAUAGAAUUUGCCAAAUGAGCUCGACAUAAAGACAAAAUCCGCCCAGUACAAAUUGUCAAGCAUGCAUGAACGGUAUGAAAUCUGCAGAUUCGAAUGCGGAACUAGAUUUUUUAAAUGCUGUUGCUUAAAAACAUUAUUCUGUUGCAAAUAAUGCAGCUUGUCACAAAAAGGUCCAGAAUUAAAGAAUUAAAAAUUCAGUUUUUACCGGCAAA
Long non-coding RNA from Bactrocera oleae (olive fruit fly), 630 nucleotides. RefSeq lists it as uncharacterized. The record is from RefSeq and is a predicted model, not a curated record. NCBI's taxonomy places the organism in Eukaryota, Metazoa, Arthropoda, Insecta, Diptera, Tephritidae.